RNAcentral lists this small RNA (243 nucleotides) under Burkholderia glumae BGR1. RNAcentral's name for it is "Proteobacterial sRNA psRNA2". It matches the Rfam family "Proteobacterial sRNA psRNA2". The record is from Rfam by way of RNAcentral. Lineage: Bacteria; Pseudomonadati; Pseudomonadota; Betaproteobacteria; Burkholderiales; Burkholderiaceae.
GGGUUACUCCUUGGCGCUUGCGCGCUGUUUUGAUGAAGAUUCGCACCUCUAUCAAAACGGGUAACCCCGCCUCUUGGCAAGGCCUUACUGUCAGAUCAAGUCUGAACUUCUACAGCUCAUGGCCGCAGCAUAGUCUCUACUUCUGACCCGCGUCGCCCUAGUCAAAUCUCCGAAUCCAGCGCAGCGUCUCUUCUUUCUUAUCAAGAUUGUCCGGCACACGGAACAGUCUGCUGGAAUAUGCUU